Molecule: ribosomal RNA, 207 nt
Filed under: uncultured bacterium
Lineage: Bacteria
Description: partial 16S ribosomal RNA
Rfam family: Bacterial small subunit ribosomal RNA
Source: RNAcentral
AGCGCAGGCGGACCGGCAAGUUGGAAGUGAAAACUAUGGGCUCAACCCAUAAAUUGCUUUCAAAACUGCUGGCCUUGAGUAGUGCAGAGGUAGGUGGAAUUCCCGGUGUAGCGGUGGAAUGCGUAGAUAUCGGGAGGAACGCCAGUGGCGAAGGCGACCUACUGGGCACCAACUGACGCUGAGGCUCGAAAGCAUGGGUAGCAAACA